AUAAGAUAGUAGUGGGGGAAGAUGCAGGGCUGAUUCUGGGAAGUGAUGGGGCGGGACUGGUCUUUUAGGUGCACUGCCGGGCGAUUGUUGUGAAGUGUGGGGAAGUGUUGGGUGAGAGGAAUCAGAAGGAGGAAAGGGAAGUCAACAGUUGAUGUAUUGAUGGCAUACAAGCCGUGUGCAGUGCUGAAGCGGUCGCCAGCAGGAUUUAAAUGGGCGGUGAGCGGAGACUAGUGAAGGUGAGGACAGGGUGUUUACGCGAAUAGAGGACAUUCUGAUGGGAGAAUUGGCGCAGCUUGAAGGCUGGUGCAGGGACGAAACAGGCAGACGGCGCACGCUGUGCAGCAGGCAUCACAGGGAAGCGCAUGACAUUAGUCCGCAUGUUUAGCUACUGCAUGUCCAGCU
Molecule: long non-coding RNA, 402 nt
Filed under: Locusta migratoria (migratory locust)
Lineage: Eukaryota; Metazoa; Arthropoda; Insecta; Orthoptera; Acrididae
Description: partial Lnc06832
Source: RNAcentral